Molecule: ribosomal RNA, 405 nt
Filed under: uncultured bacterium
Lineage: Bacteria
Description: partial 16S ribosomal RNA
Rfam family: Bacterial small subunit ribosomal RNA
Source: RNAcentral
AUUGAACGCUAGCGGCAGGCUUUACACAUGCAAGUCGAACGAGUGGCGGACGGGUGAGUAAUAUAUCGGAACGUGCCCAGUAGCGGGGGAUAACUACUCGAAAGAGUGGCUAAUACCGCAUACUAUGGGAUCGGCCGAUAUGGGAUUAGCUAGUUGGUGGGGUAAGGGCUCACCAAGGCAACGAUCCGUAGCUGGUUUGAGAGGACGACCAGCCACACUGGGACUGAGACACGGCCCAGACUCCUACGGGAGGCAGCAGUGGGGAAUUUUGGACAAUGGGCGAAACCCUGAUCCAGCCAUGCCGCGUGUAUGAGAAGGCCUUCGGGUUGUAAAGUACUUUCAGCGGAGAAGCGGUAUCUGCAGAAUAAGCACCGGCUAACUACGUGCCAGCAGCCGCGGUAAUAC